RNAcentral lists this ribosomal RNA (448 nucleotides) under uncultured bacterium. RNAcentral describes it as "SSU rRNA". It matches the Rfam family "Bacterial small subunit ribosomal RNA", at positions 26 to 518 of the family's 1533-position model. The record is from RNAcentral.
AGAGCGAACGCUGGCGGCAGGCCUAACACAUGCAAGUCGAGCGCCCGUAGCAAUACGGGAGCGGCAGACGGGAUAGUAACACGUGGGAACGCGCCCUUCGGUUCGGAAUAACUCAGGGAAACUUGAGCUAAUACCGAAUACGCCCUUACGGGGAAAGAUUUAUUGCCGAAGGAACGGCCCGCGUCCGAUUAGCUAGUUGGUGAGGUAAUGGCUCACCAAGGCUACGAUCGGUAGCUGGUCUGAGAGGAUGACCAGCAUCACUGGGACUGAGACACGGUCCAGACUCCUACGGGAGGCAGCAGUGGGGAAUCUUGCGCAAUGGGGGAAACCCUGACGCAGCAACGCCGCGUGGAGGAUGAAAUAUCUUGGUAUGUAAACUCCUUUCGAUGGGGAAGAUUAUGACGGUACCCAUAGAAGAAGCCCCGGCUAACUUCGUGCCAGCAGCCGC